RNAcentral lists this ribosomal RNA (768 nucleotides) under uncultured bacterium. RNAcentral describes it as "bacterial SSU rRNA". It matches the Rfam family "Bacterial small subunit ribosomal RNA", at positions 28 to 776 of the family's 1533-position model. The record is from RNAcentral.
GACGAGCGCUGGCGGCGUGCCUAAUACAUGCAAGUCGAGCGAAGUUUUUCUGGUGCUUGCACUAGAAAAACUUAGCGGCGAACGGGUGAGUAACACGUAAAGAACCUGCCUCAUAGACUGGGACAACUAUUGGAAACGAUAGCUAAUACCGGAUAACAGCAUUAACCGCAUGGUUGAUGUUUGAAAGUUGGUUUUGCUAACACUAUGAGAUGGCUUUGCGGUGCAUUAGCUAGUUGGUGGGGUAAAGGCCUACCAAGGCGACGAUGCAUAGCCGACCUGAGAGGGUGAUCGGCCACACUGGGACUGAGACACGGCCCAGACUCCUACGGGAGGCAGCAGUAGGGAAUCUUCCGCAAUGGGCGAAAGCCUGACGGAGCAACGCCGCGUGAGUGAAGAAGGAUUUCGGUUCGUAAAGCUCUGUUGUUAGGGAAGAAUGAUUGUGUAGUAACUAUACACAGUAGAGACGGUACCUAACCAGAAAGCCACGGCUAACUACGUGCCAGCAGCCGCGGUAAUACGUAGGUGGCAAGCGUUGUCCGGAAUUAUUGGGCGUAAAGCGCGCGCAGGUGGUUUAAUAAGUCUGAUGUGAAAGCCCACGGCUCAACCGUGGAGGGUCAUUGGAAACUGUUAAACUUGAGUGCAGGAGAGAAAAGUGGAAUUCCUAGUGUAGCGGUGAAAUGCGUAGAGAUUAGGAGGAACACCAGUGGCGAAGGCGGCUUUUUGGCCUGUAACUGACACUGAGGCGCGAAAGCGUGGGGAGCAAACAGG